Molecule: ribosomal RNA, 1397 nt
Filed under: uncultured bacterium
Lineage: Bacteria
Description: bacterial SSU rRNA
Rfam family: Bacterial small subunit ribosomal RNA
Source: RNAcentral
AGAGUUUGAUCCUUUCUCAGGAUGAACGCUAGCUACAGGCUUAACACAUGCAAGUCGAGGGGCAGCAUGGUCUUAGCUUGCUAAGGCCGAUGGCGACCGGCGCACGGGUGAGUAACACGUAUCCAACCUGCCGUCUACUCUUGGACAGCCUUCUGAAAGGAAGAUUAAUACAAGAUGGCAUCAUGAGUCCGCAUGUUCACAUGAUUAAAGGUAUUCCGGUAGACGAUGGGGAUGCGUUCCAUUAGAUAGUAGGCGGGGUAACGGCCCACCUAGUCUUCGAUGGAUAGGGGUUCUGAGAGGAAGGUCCCCCACAUUGGAACUGAGACACGGUCCAAACUCCUACGGGAGGCAGCAGUGAGGAAUAUUGGUCAAUGGGCGAGAGUCUGAACCAGCCAAGUAGCGUGAAGGAUGACUGCCCUAUGGGUUGUAAACUUCUUUUAUAAAGGAAUAAAGUCGGGUAUGCAUACCCGUUUGCAUGUACUUUAUGAAUAAGGAUCGGCUAACUCCGUGCCAGCAGCCGCGGUAAUACGGAGGAUCCGAGCGUUAUCCGGAUUUAUUGGGUUUAAAGGGAGCGUAGAUGGAUGUUUAAGUCAGUUGUGAAAGUUUGCGGCUCAACCGUAAAAUUGCAGUUGAUACUGGGUAUCUUGAGUGCAGUUGAGGCAGGCGGAAUUCGUGGUGUAGCGGUGAAAUGCUUAGAUAUCACGAAGAACUCCGAUUGCGAAGGCAGCCUGCUAAGUUGCAACUGACAUUGAGGCUCGAAAGUGUGGGUAUCAAACAGGAUUAGAUACCCUGGUAGUCCACACGGUAAACGAUGAAUACUCGCUGUUUGCGAUAUACAGCAAGCGGCCAAGCGAAAGCGUUAAGUAUUCCACCUGGGGAGUACGCCGGCAACGGUGAAACUCAAAGGAAUUGACGGGGGCCCGCACAAGCGGAGGAACAUGUGGUUUAAUUCGAUGAUACGCGAGGAACCUUACCCGGGCUUAAAUUGCAGAUGAAUUACGGUGAAAGCCGUAAGCCGCAAGGCAUCUGUGAAGGUGCUGCAUGGUUGUCGUCAGCUCGUGCCGUGAGGUGUCGGCUUAAGUACCAUAACGAGCGCAACCCUUGUUGUCAGUUACUAACAGGUUCUGCUGAGGACUCUGACAAGACUGCCAUCGUAAGAUGUGAGGAAGGUGGGGAUGACGUCAAAUCAGCACGGCCCUUACGUCCGGGGCUACACACGUGUUACAAUGGCAUGUACAGAAAGCUGGCCGUAUGCAAAUACGGUCGAAUCCCUAAAACAUGUCUCAGUUCGGACUGGGGUCUGCAACCCGACCCCACGAAGCUGGAUUCGCUAGUAAUCGCGCAUCAGCCAUGGCGCGGUGAAAACGUUCCCGGGCCUUGCACACACCGCCCGUCAA